This 245-nucleotide ribosomal RNA is filed under the name uncultured bacterium. Its description in RNAcentral is "partial 16S ribosomal RNA". It matches the Rfam family "Bacterial small subunit ribosomal RNA", at positions 524 to 768 of the family's 1533-position model. The record is from RNAcentral.
UACGUAGGGGGCAAGCGUUGUCCGGAGUUACUGGGCGUAAAGGGCACGCAGGCGGUGCGCCAAGUUUCGACUGACAUUGUUCGGCUUAACCGAAGAGGGCGUCGGAAAACUGGAGCACUUGAGGCAUCGAGAGGGACACGGAAUUCCGGGUGGAGUGGUGAAAUGCGUAGAGAUCCGGAAGAACACCAAAGGCGAAGGCAGUGUCCUGGCGAUGACCUGACGCUCAGGUGCGAAAGCCAGGGGAG